This is a long non-coding RNA of Pan troglodytes (chimpanzee), 7692 nucleotides long. RefSeq lists it as uncharacterized. The transcript is spliced from 3 exons. Lineage: Eukaryota; Metazoa; Chordata; Mammalia; Primates; Hominidae. The record is from RefSeq and is a predicted model, not a curated record.
CCACCGCACCUGGCCUGUAAUCAUCCUUAAUCUAGUAAAGAUAAAUACAAGGGUCUUAAAGUUUCUUCUCUAAUUCCUAAACAAUACUUAGGGAUUUGGUAUGAAAUAUUCAGAAGUUGCAUCAACAAAUUUUUACAUUGUGGUUUUAGAUAAAAAGAAGGCUAAAUUUCAAAAAUGCUGAGUGAGUGAUAGGAGAGUAUGAUAUUUCAGAUAGAUUGAUAUCUUUCUGUCAAGAAAUCUUACAAAUUCCACCCUUUCUUUUGACCUCUUUAGAAAUCAUACCUGAAUGCAAGUGAAGGAUUGGGACAUUAUUUAAAGAAAAAUAACUUGAAUCAUCUGUAGUUGUAAAAUAUUAAAGGCAUCCAAAUAUAUGAUAUUUAAAAUUUUCAUUUAAACAAAUUAUAUCUGAUAUACUUCAUAUCUUACUGUGUUUUAGUUCCCUGAGUUUUCUCAGAUAUUUUAAAAAUUACUUUAUUGAGAUAUGAUUGACUGUACAAAAACAUUAUACCCAUUUAAUCUAUAUGACUUGAAGAUUUUGGAGAUACGUGUACACCCAGGAACUCAUCACAAUAUAUGCCAUAAACAUACCCAUUACCUCCCAAUGUUUCCUCCUACCCUCUUUAUUUAUUGUUACAUUUCUGUCACAGAAGGGAUAACAGAAGAUACACCCUUUAGCAAAUUGGGAAGUGUACAAUGUAAAAUAAACUACAGGCACGAUAUUGUACAGUAAAUCUCCAGUACUUAUUUGUCUUGCAUCACUGAAACUUUGUACCCUUUGACUAAUUUUGUGUCCUUUGACCAACAACCUUCACACCAUCAACAAUGUUAAAUAUGUGAGGUAAUAUAUAUGUUAAAUAGCUUGAUUUAAUUAUCCUGCACACACACAUUGUACACAGACACAUAUCAUGUUUUACACCAUAUAUAUAAUUUUACUGUUAUAUGUUUAUACAAGUAAUUAUGCUCAUAAUUAAAAAUAAGGAAACAAUAAAAAAGUAUUGGAUUAGGAAUCAAUGCAGAAUUAGGUUCAAGUCUUGAUAUCUCUUCAAUUAUUAAUGGGCAAGAUUUACUUCUCUGGAUCUCUCCAUCUGUAAAUUUAGAGUUUGGGUUAGGUGAGCUUUAAAGUUUCUUUUAGCUCUUAAUUAUACAAAUCCUUUCAUGAAUAAUUCUCAAAUAAUCACAAUUAUUCCCUAGAAAAUUCUGAGAGAAGGAUUUUUGUAAGUGAAUAUUAAAAAAAUCACACAGGACAAGAGAAUAAAAUAUGUAAUUUCAAGUUUUAAUAAUUAAAAUCAGAUUUAUUUCCUAAAAUAUUAAUAUCUUGGAUAUUAUGGGGCAGUACUUGCUCUGAGAUUCUAAAAGAAGCCAGCAUCUGUUUUUUCAUGAUGUUUUUGGAAAAGUCCACUAAAGACCUCCUGAUGCUACUCUUUCAUUUUGGUAAAUGUUAAACAUCACUACAUAAUCUUAAGACUAUAACUGUGUGUUAGAAAUUCCUAGUUUAUGUUUUUUCUUGGGUUCUCUUCCUUGACCUUGACAUGUCCAUUUAAUGAAACCUGCUCAAAUUUGAGGCUCAUUUAAUUUGUUUCUCACAAAUCUUCUGUAUCUACUUUUACAUAUGUUCUUACGCCUGUGAAUUCUCAUGGCCCCUUGUCCUAGGGUGCCUCAGCGUAAUCCUCCUUUAUUAGUAAUAUAUGAUAUAUGUUACAUUAAUGCCUUAAGGCCUUGAACUAUUCACUCAUCCUGAAAUACUUUCUUCAGAUCUUUCUGAUUGGCUUUUUCUUGUUAUCCAGGUCUUAGUUUAUAUUCUACCGCUGCAAAAAGCUCUCUGAUCAUCUAACGUAAAGUAACUUCCCAGUUACUGUCUAUUUUAUUGUCAUGUUUUACUUUCUUCAUAGCACUAUUUAAAGUUAUUUUAUGUAUGUCUCUCUCAUUAAAAUGUAAGUUUCCUGGAGACAAAAGAUGCUCAAUAAAUAUGUAAUGAUGAUAAAUUUUUUGUAGGUAUGCAUUUUAUUCAUUUUGCUGGAGAAGGCAUUCACCUUAGAAUAGAGUUAUUUCUGUUUCAUUUCUUUUAUCUUCUGUAAUAUCUGAUGUAUGGUCUUGCACACCAGAAAUUCUCUGUAGAUAUUCUUAAUGGAAUUAUGUUAAUGUGACAGAAAAAAACAGUAGAAAAUUGGAGCUGUUACUCUCCAUUCUAUUUGCCAAAUGUAGUUUGUACUGUAACAUCAUUUCAUUUCAUGGGUUCUUGACUUGAUAAAAAAUAAAGAAAAGAAAGAGAACCCCACAGUUUUAGCAUGCUAACUUAAAAAUCCAUAUAAAGGCCAAGCAACUGCAUGCCCAAAGGAAACUUUGAUUUAAUUAUUUGCUAAAAAGAUGUCCAUAUCUAUUUAACUGCCAUUCAGAAAAAUCAUGAGUUUCGGAACUACAGUUCUUAUAAUAAACCUACAAAUAUAAUUAUUCAUUAAUAUAACUAGGAACAUUUUUUAUAGACCUGGUAUAAUCACAGAAUAAUCGAUCCACCAGAAAUGUAACAUUUUUACUAAUGAUUUUGAAAUGUCAAAUGAUAUAUAAUGCUUUAAUUGAUGUAGGCUAUUCAGAAACACCUAAGUCAUUGUGACUAUAUAAAAGAAAUAAAAGGAGAAGAUUUCUAAAGUGUCUAGUUCAUUUUCAUGUAAACAGGAGAAUAAAUGAAAGCAAUGUUUUACUUAUUCAACAUAAACUGGACUGGAUUAAGAUCAGACUUGCUACUUUCAGUUAAAUUUACUAUUAAAUUGAUAUUCAUUAGAAUGUUAGAACAAGGAGGGAUUCUAGCAGUCAUUCAAAUGAGGUUAUUAUAAGUGAGGAAACUGAACUAAAACAAUCUAUUCAAUGUUGUAAAACUAGGAACUAAAACAAUCUAUUCAAUGUUGUUAAACUAGCUACUCUAGAUUAGCUCAGCUUUAAAGACUCGCUAGAUGUCCAGAUGCAAGCACCUGCCUCUUAGUCCAAUGCUUACUCCACAAUAUAGCCUUUUGACUCCUAUUUCAAGGGACACCAAAGAGUAAAAUUCUGUAACAGGUACUCAGCAGGGUUGGAAGCUAAUAGGAUUUGGACUCAUCUAUUAUAUAUCAAGAAAAGGAUCUCCAGUUUAUAAUAAUACAUUGUAAUCAAGUCAAUACAGUAAUAUUAAAAUUAUAUCAAGUCCUGAAAAAUAUCUUUCUUUGAAUAUUUGGGAGGCACUUGUGGAUCUAAUACUGCUUUCUUUAUGAAAUUUCAUAAGAUUUACAUUGUCUAUGAUCACUAAGAUUCUGGUUAUCAGAAUGCAAAGUAGAGAAGUAUGUAAAGGUACUGCUUUAGUGUGUGUAUUAGUAGGAAUUAUUUCAGUUGCAAAAGGCAAGAACUCAGCUCAAAUUAGUUUAUACAAAAGAAGCUCACUGGCUGGCAAGAAAAGAGUAGCUUAAAGUUGAAAGCAAGAGAUACAGAAAAACGAAGCACCUAGGGCAGGAAUUAUGCACUCAGAAUUGCUAAAAUAUUAUCUUUCUUUUCUUAUCUGUGCUUAGUUUCAUUCUUCAUAUUUUAAAUAAGAUACGGCCCCUGGCCAUUCCAGUAUUAUUUCCUCUCAGUUUAGCAACACUGUCCCUUCCCUUAAAGGGGUAACAGCUUAUUUAUUCCAGGUUCUAUAGAUUAAUAUUAAGGAAGGUCUUGAAUUGGCACAUCUUAGGGUGUUUGUUGGCAACAGGGGAAUAGGGAAUUCCUGUAGCAAGGUAACAUGAUUGAAAUGUUCACAAGAACCACAUGCCACUGGGGAAUAGUGACUCUACCUCCCAAAAGAUGCUAAAUUGUAAAAAGAUGCAACACUAAAAAAAGUACCCCUUAGAAUAUUCAUGAUAAUAGAAUUUGCCUUGCUAAUGUCCCAUAAGUUAGUUGUUACAGAGGUGUCAUUGCCAAUUUCCAGUAUUUCCCUUAUGCAGCUUACAAGUUUACAAAGAUUAAAAAAUGAUAAAACCUAACAUUGGUGGAGGUGAAGUGAGAUGGGCCUUCACGUAACACUGGAGGAAGUGUAAAUUGGUAAAACCUUUUUGUAAAGCAAUUUGAUAAAAUGUCAAGAAAAUUAAAAUAGUUCACACUUGUAGAUACAGUAAUUCCACUAAUAAAAUAAUUAAAAUGUGGGUACAUACUUAUGUGUAAUAUUUUAUGUAAUUUGAAUAUUAGAAACAAAAUCAAUGUUUAGUAAGGUUUACUCAGUUAAAUAUAAAUAUAGUCAUGUACCACAUAAUGAUGUUUCAGUCAAGACAGGUGACAUAUACGGGCCAAUAAGAUUAUAACACUAUUUUUACUGUUCAUUCUCUAUGAUUAGAUACACAGAUGCUUACAUUGUGCAACAGCUGCCUAUAGUAUUCAGCACAGUAAUGUGCUAUACAGUUUUGUAGCCUCUAGGCUAUGCCAUCUAGCCUAGUUGCGUAGUAGACUAUACUAUCUACGUUUGUGUGAGUACCCUCUGUGAUGCUCACAUAAUGAGGAAAUCACCUAAUGGCACAUUUUGCAGAAGACACCCCUAUUGUUAAAUAAUGCAUGACUGUAUGUGAUAGGCUACUAUGCAGAUUACGCCUAAUACCCUCACAUGAUUUUGAUAAUAUAUUGUCAUUGCAAACUUGAAAGGAAACAACUUCCUAAGUCAUUGGCAAUGAUGUAAAUUCAUGCAAACUCGUUGGAUAAAAUUAUAUAUAAGAUGUAUCAUAAAAAUAUAUAUCAAAAUUAGAAAUGCAAAUAUGACCUAGAAAUUUUAUUUUUAGGAAUUUAUCUCAUAUAUAUUCUAGUAUGUACUCAAAUAAUGUUCACAGCAAUACUGUUUGCAAUAGAAAAUGUCUGGAAAUAAGUCAAAUUUCCAACAAUGAGGGACAUAUUGAAUAAAUUCUGCCAUUAGAAAGGAAUAAUUUGUAUAUUAAUCUGCAAAAUAUGCUAAAUGAAAAAGCAAAAGUUCAAACACUGUCUGUAUAGUAGACCCUCAUUUCUCUAGAAAUAGAUAACAGUUGUGUAGUGGACUUGACUGAGUUCACUAAUAGCUAGUUCUUCUCUCCCUGGACAUACAGAAGAUUAUAGUUUCCAUACUUCUUGCAGUUAACUGAAGCCAGGAAACUAGAUCUGGCAAAUAAAAUGAGUGGGACUGACUUUUGAGCUGACAAAAAUGAAGAGCCCUUUUUAAAUUCUGCCAUCUCUCUCUUUCCUUGCAGUGUUAAUGCACAAGGUCUUGUGUUGAAAAUGUAGAGCCACGAGAUAAAAGCAGCUUGGAUGGCUGACUCAUAUACAAGGGCAACUGCCUGAGAGUCACCAGGACUAUCAAGAAGUUUGCAGAAACAAGAAAUAAACUUUUACUGUUUUAAACUUUUGUGAAUUUUGGGUUUUGUUUAUCACCAAAUAAACCUAGUCUAUUCUGAUUGUUAUAAGUGGUUAAUUUGGGAAGUCAGAUAUAUUUAAAAUUGGCUUACUGCUGUAACAUAUACAGUCCAAAUUACAUAAUGGCUCCAAUGCAAUAGAAGUCUUUGUUUUUUUUUGCUCACAUAUCACUUCAUUGAGAUUCUGCAUUAAUUGUAAUGAGGAGGGUGGGGGUGUCUUAUAUCAUACAGUUGUUCAGCAACCCAGGAUGACCAACUUUGUAAUAUUUUUUCCCACUGGCUUCUAAAGUUCUCAUAGAUAGUAAAAUUCAUUUGGAAGAAGGAGAAACAGCAUGGAGGAUUGCAGAUGGAGAUUUUUAUGGGAAGGCUUGGAGGUUUGGAGGUUGCACAUUACUACUUUUACUUGUUGGCUAGGAAACUAUCAUGUGGUCACACCUAAGUGCCAGUGAGUCUGACAAUGUGGCAAUUUGGUUGCGGGCCAGGGGUAAGAGGCAAUAAAUUUUGCUCAAUAAUUAUCAGUUUUUGCCACAGAUGGAGGGACUUUUCAUUGUAUAACUAGUUGUUACUGUUUGAAUUUAAAACAGGAAAAUAUCAUUUUCAAAUAAAAACACAAAAGUGGCACAAAAAAUUCUUAUGAUUUUUUUUGCUUGAAUUUUGUGCAUUUAUUUGGCUAUUAUUAAAGUAAAUAAUUCUCUUUAUAGAAAAUGUAGAAAAUAACAAAAAAUAAAUAAGCAGAAAGUCAUCCAAUAACCCCCAUGAUCCCAGCAUAAUAAUCUUUUUUAAGGUAACUGAAAUGACCAUCCUUCUUUUACAAUUGCAAACGCUAACACCCAGGGAUUUUAAGAAAUUUGUCAACUCUAGUAAGUGGUAGAGCACAGAGAAAAGAAAAGCCAGGGAAGCUUUUACAGAGCAGGAGACAAGGAUAGAAAAGGACUUACGAAUGGGGAAACACAAUUGACAAAUUAUUUUAAAAUUUUGCAGGUUUAAUCGCAUGGAGAGAGAGAGCAUAGAACACGAGAGAUAUACCAAAGCAACAGAGAGACAGAUUCUUGCUCUGUCACCCAAGUUGGAGUGCAGUGGUGCGAUCAUAACUCCAGAACCUCAAAUUGCUCAGCUCAGAAGAUCCUCCUGCCUCAGCCUCCUGAAUACCUAGUAUUACAGCAUUUUAAAUAUGUUGCUUUACUGUCAUCUGUCCUUAAUGGUUUCUGAUGUCAUAUCCACCGUCAUUUGAACGAUUGUUCCACCAUAUGUAAAGUAUUAAUUUCUGGGUGUUUUUAAGAUUUUCUUGUUCCUUUUGUCUUUCAGCCGUUUUACUAGGAGGUACCUAUACCUGUGUAGAUGCUUCUUUCAAAUGUGUCCUAUUUGGAGUUUGCUGACCUUUAGUAAUCUAUAAAUAUAGGCCUUUCACCAGAUUUGGAAAGUUUUGGUCAUCAUUUCUUCAAAUAUUUUUUGUCUCAAAUUUUUCCUUUGUUUCUAGGACUCCAAUUACCUAAUUAAGGUGUUAGACCUUUUGAAAUGUUCCACUGUUCUCUGGGGCUCAGUUUGUACUUUUCCUUUUUUUUUUUUGAGAUGGAGUCUCCUCUGUCACCAGGCUGGAGUGCACUGGUGCAGUCUUGGCUCACUGCAACCUCCGCCUCCUGGGUUCAAGCAAUUCUCCUGCCUCAGCCUCCCAAAUAGCUGGGAUUACAAGCACAUACCACCAUGCCCAGCUAAUUUUUGUAUUUUUAGUAGAGAUGGGUUUUCACCAUGUUGGCCAGGCCGGUCUUGAACUCCUGACCUCGUGAUCUGCCCGCCUCGGCCUCCCAAACUGCUGGGAUUACAAGCAUGAGCCACCGUGCCUGGCCCAGUUUGUAUUUUUUCAUAAACUUUUUGUCUCUUUUUCAAAUUGUAUGAUUUCUAUUGAUUUAUAUUUGGUUUUACUUAGAUUCUUUUGACACCUUUAUUUUAAAAAUUUGGCCUAUACAGGAAAUUUGUAUUUCAGGUUUUGUGUUUUUAUCAAUUUUAAAAUUACUUUUAUGCCUUUUUAUGUUUUCUACAAUUAUGCUGGUAUUUUCUAAUUUUUUAAUUCCUUCCACGUGUAUCUUUCUUUACCUGAUUGAGCAUAGUUAUAACUCUGUUUAAAGUUAGUGUCUGAUAAUUUCAACAUUUGGUCAUUUUUCCCCUUAAAAAUGGGUCAUUGUUUCCUGGAUCUUUGUAUAUGAAGCGGUUUUCGGAUUGAAUUGUGGACAUUAUGAAUGUAAUUAUGAAUAAAAAUCUAGGCUCUGGCUUUUUUCAUAUCACUUUAAAAAGUGUUGAUGCUUUUGUUUAGCAGAAAAAUGACUUAAACUCA